Molecule: ribosomal RNA, 465 nt
Filed under: uncultured bacterium
Lineage: Bacteria
Description: partial 16S ribosomal RNA
Rfam family: Bacterial small subunit ribosomal RNA
Source: RNAcentral
GACGAACGCUGGCGGCGUGCUUAACACAUGCAAGUCGUACGGUAAGGCCCUUUCGGGGGUACACGGGUGGCGAACGGGUGAGUAACACGUGAGUAACCUGCCCACAACUUUGGGAUAACGCUAGGAAACUGGUGCUAAUACUGGAUAUGUGCUCCUGCUGCAUGGUGGGGGUUGGAAAGCUCCGGCGGCUGUGGAUGGACUCGCGGCCUAUCAGCUUGUUGGUGGGGUAGUGGCCUACCAAGGCGGCGACGGGUAGCCGGCCUGAGAGGGUGACCGGCCACAUUGGGACUGAGAUACGGCCCAGACUCCUACGGGAGGCAGCAGUGGGGAAUAUUGCACAAUGGGCGCAAGCCUGAUGCAGCAACGCCGCGUGCGGGAUGACGGCCUUCGGGUUGUAAACCGCUUUCAGCAGGGACGAAGCUUUUUGUGACGGUACCUGCAGAAGAAGCACCGGCUAACUACGUG